AAGAAAGAGAGUUUCAGAUUGCUUUCACUACUAUUUGCUCCUGUUUCCCGCAUCCACAAAUACCUGAACAUCAUACAGGCUCUGUCACGCAGUUCUGGCGCUGGACAUGCAGACUGGUGUUCACUGCAGGAGAGCGAGCAGGUGCUGUGGGACCUCUGCACAAGCUGUCAUAUGACUUUGGCGAAGACGGGGCCGUGCGAAGAGGGGGAGAGGCCUGAACAAGGUUUGAGAAGCAGGUGCUGUGCCGAGAGCCCCGACUGUGGCCCUUCCGCUUUUACCAAGUACUGUGCCAACACUAAUGCAGAUACAGCCAGCGUCACAGCGGGCGCAGGCAUAGACAGCACUGUACACCAGAGGAAAUGCUGUCGUGUUGGCACCUCACGGACGCUACCUCGGCCCAGUGGCAUUUUAAGAAAUGGCCAUAAGCAUAUAUGUGAUCUGACCCCUGGUGGCUGGACUGCAGAGUACAUGUGGAAUGGCAGCUCAGGGAAGAGCCUCAUGGGUCCCAUCUGCGUACCCUUCGCUCGUCAUCCUAGAGAAGCCGGCCGCUUUCUGAAUCCUGUGCCACCUGUAGGUGUCGAGGGAAACCUCACUGCUGCUGCCAAGAGUCAGAGCUCCUCGGCUGGUCUGGCCGUGCGUGUGUG
This 644-nucleotide long non-coding RNA is filed under the name Sinocyclocheilus anshuiensis. RNAcentral's name for it is "lncRNA (ENSSANG00000003003.1)". Lineage: Eukaryota; Metazoa; Chordata; Actinopteri; Cypriniformes; Cyprinidae. The record is from RNAcentral.